This 894-nucleotide long non-coding RNA is filed under the name Phoenix dactylifera (date palm). RNAcentral's name for it is "long non-coding RNA (PDAC_LNC017250)". Lineage: Eukaryota; Viridiplantae; Streptophyta; Magnoliopsida; Arecales; Arecaceae. The record is from RNAcentral.
AGGGAUGCAUCUUGGAGAUGCAUCCCAUCCACACAUCCUCUCAUUAAAAGACAUCAUCUAAAGAGCCAUAUCAAAUAAGAGGAGGCGCAGAUCAAGUGAAGAGGUGUAUCAAAUGAUAUGUCCUUUCAUGUGGUCCCAUAUUUUGACCAAGUCAACAUCACAUGCCAAUCACAUGUCCAUCACACAUCACCUCUUGAUCUUUCAUGAUGAUGAUCCAAGGGCUCCAAUGCAAGGCGCCAUUCACUUGACCUAUUAUGUCUUCAUCCAAUGGUGGGAUUAAGAUCCAAUGGUCAAUUAUGAUAGCCAUCCUCUAACCCAAUCCAAUUGGGUUAAACCAACUCUCCAUUAUGUCUUCAUCCAACGGUAGAUCUAACGGUCUAGAUUGAAUGAUUUAUCAAAUCUAAUUCAAUUAGACUCAAACCAAGCCAAUUAGGUGCCAACUCUUGGCUAACCCAUAUUAGAACAUGAUCUAAUCAAAUUAGAUCAAUUAAGAAUCAGAUUCGAAUCCAAUUCGAAUCAGAUUCGAAUCCAAUUCGAAUCAGGAGCUAAGGGUUUGCAACACCUGCUAGAAUGUCUAUCUUGCAAACAUGAUUUAAUCCAAUUAGACCCUUGAUAAGUUUUCUUGUGUGUGACCCAUUGGGUUCCAUACUUAGCCAGCAACAGGUGUGAGUGCGAGUUGACCCAAUUUGAUUAGAACUCUUCUAAUCGAUUUAAGUCCAAACUGCGCGAAUCCGAACUUAACAAUUAGAAUCCUUUCUAAUUGGUGAUCGAAUUAAACUCUUUAAUUCGAUCAAACCUAUAAGACAAUAUUUACGUCUAGCAAUGUGUCAUGUCUACCCAGAAAAUAUGGAAUUUGGUAGAAAUACCAAAAAUACCCUUCAGUGGUAAGUUACC